This 64-nucleotide transfer RNA is filed under the name Balta sp. Cairns, Australia. Its description in RNAcentral is "tRNA-Gly". The record is from RNAcentral. Lineage: Eukaryota; Metazoa; Arthropoda; Insecta; Blattodea; Pseudophyllodromiidae.
ACUUAUUUAAUAUAUUGAGUAUAUUUGACUUCCAAUCAAAAAGUUUGUAAAAACAAAAUAAGUA